Molecule: long non-coding RNA, 285 nt
Organism: Harmonia axyridis
Lineage: Eukaryota; Metazoa; Arthropoda; Insecta; Coleoptera; Coccinellidae
Exons: 2
Source: RefSeq, a predicted model, not a curated record
UAUUUUUUAGAUGAAUAUUCAGUAUGAAAAUCAAUCGAAACUGCUUGCAAAAUUUUCAAAUAUUGCUACGAACAAAAAUUACAAAUAAUGUAUUUAUUGGAUUCACAAAAAAUUAACACAGAUGCGGGGUUUUCAGGCAGUUCACUGAUUCCAGGACCUAUACGAUAUAUGACAUUACUUGUACAUGUUAAUGGGGCUUCCUCCUGAAACUGCAACCUUCAGUAAGCCUAGCUUUACCACCAGUGGAUGUGCAGAGAAUGGUUGAACAACCCUUGCAUGCUACAG